This 474-nucleotide ribosomal RNA is filed under the name uncultured bacterium. Its description in RNAcentral is "bacterial SSU rRNA". It matches the Rfam family "Bacterial small subunit ribosomal RNA", at positions 335 to 797 of the family's 1533-position model. The record is from RNAcentral.
ACUCCUACGGGAGGCAGCAGUAGGGAAUUUUCCGCAAUGGACGAAAGUCUGACGGAGCAAUGCCGCGUGAGUGAUGAAGGUUUUCGAAUCGUAAAGCUCUGUUGUAAGGGAAGAAUAGCAGUAGUAGGAAAUGACUACUGUGUGACGGUACCUUACCAGAAAGCCACGGCUAACUACGUGCCAGCAGCCGCGGUAAUACGUAGGUGGCAAGCGUUAUCCGGAAUUAUUGGGCGUAAAGAGCUCGUAGGCGGUUUGUCGCGUCUGUCGUGAAAGUCCGGGGCUCAACUCCGGAUCUGCGGUGGGUACGGGCAGACUAGAGUGAUGUAGGGGAGACUGGAAUUCCUGGUGUAGCGGUGGAAUGCGCAGAUAUCAGGAGGAACACCGAUGGCGAAGGCAGGUCUCUGGGCAUUAACUGACGCUGAGGAGCGAAAGCAUGGGGGAGCGAAACAGGAUUAGAUACCCUGGUAGGGCUCU